RNAcentral lists this ribosomal RNA (984 nucleotides) under uncultured bacterium. RNAcentral's name for it is "bacterial SSU rRNA". It matches the Rfam family "Bacterial small subunit ribosomal RNA", at positions 43 to 1019 of the family's 1533-position model. The record is from RNAcentral.
CAGGCCUAACACAUGCAAGUCGAGGGGUAACAGGUAGAAAGCUUGCUUUCUAUGCUGACGACCGGCGCACGGGUGAGUAACGCGUAUGCAACCUACCUUUAACUGGAAGAUAGCCCCGAGAAAUCGGGAUUAAUACUCCAUAACAUUAUGAUAUCGCAUGAUAUUGUAUUUAAAGCUCCGGCGGUUAAAGAUGGGCAUGCGUGACAUUAGUUUGUUGGUAAGGUAACGGCUUACCAAGACAUCGAUGUCUAGGGGUUCUGAGAGGAUUGUCCCCCACACUGGUACUGAGACACGGACCAGACUCCUACGGGAGGCAGCAGUGAGGAAUAUUGGUCAAUGGUCGAAAGACUGAACCAGCCAUGCCGCGUGCAGGAUGAAUGCGCUAUGCGUUGUAAACUGCUUUUCUACAGGAAGAAACCUACUUACGUGUAAGUAGCUGCCGGUACUGUAGGAAUAAGCACCGGCUAACUCCGUGCCAGCAGCCGCGGUAAUACGGAGGGUGCAAGCGUUAUCCGGAUUUAUUGGGUUUAAAGGGUGCGUAGGCGGAAUAUUAAGUCAGUGGUGAAAUCCUGCGGCUCAACCGUAGAACUGCCAUUGAUACUGUUAUUCUUGAAUGUAGUUGAGGUAGGCGGAAUGUGUAAUGUAGCGGUGAAAUGCUUAGAUAUUACACAGAACACCGAUUGCGAAGGCAGCUUACUAAACUAUGAUUGACGCUGAUGCACGAAAGCGUGGGGAGCGAACAGGAUUAGAUACCCUGGUAGUCCACGCUGUAAACGAUGAUCACUCGUUGUUUGCGAUAUAUUGUAAGCGACUGAGCGAAAGCAUUAAGUGAUCCACCUGGGGAGUACGUCGGCAACGAUGAAACUCAAAGGAAUUGACGGGGGCCCGCACAAGCGGAGGAACAUGUGGUUUAAUUCGAUGCAACGCGAAGAACCUUACCAGGUCUUGACAUCCCGAGAAUUUACUAGAGAUAGUUUAGUGCCU